Molecule: ribosomal RNA, 2834 nt
Filed under: Salmonella enterica subsp. enterica serovar Typhimurium
Lineage: Bacteria; Pseudomonadati; Pseudomonadota; Gammaproteobacteria; Enterobacterales; Enterobacteriaceae
Description: partial 23S ribosomal RNA
Rfam family: Bacterial large subunit ribosomal RNA
Source: RNAcentral
AAUCCAUAGGUUAAUGAGGCGAACCGGGGGAACUGAAACAUCUAAGUACCCCGAGGAAAAGAAAUCAACCGAGAUUCCCCCAGUAGCGGCGAGCGAACGGGGAGGAGCCCAGAGCCUGAAUCAGCAUGUGUGUUAGUGGAAGCGUCUGGAAAGGCGCGCGAUACAGGGUGACAGCCCCGUACACAAAAGCGCAUGUGCUGUGAGCUCGAUGAGUAGGGCGGGACACGUGGUAUCCUGUCUGAAUAUGGGGGGACCAUCCUCCAAGGCUAAAUACUCCUGACUGACCGAUAGUGAACCAGUACCGUGAGGGAAAGGCGAAAAGAACCCCGGCGAGGGGAGUGAAAAAGAGCCUGAAACCGUGUACGUACAAGCAGUGGGAGCACCCUUCGGGGUGUGACUGCGUACCUUUUGUAUAAUGGGUCAGCGACUUAUAUUCUGUAGCAAGGUUAACCGUAUAGGGGAGCCGGAGGGAAACCGAGUCUUAAUUGGGCGUUAAGUUGCAGGGUAUAGACCCGAAACCCGGUGAUCUAGCCAUGGGCAGGUUGAAGGUUGGGUAACACUAACUGGAGGACCGAACCGACUAAUGUUGAAAAAUUAGCGGAUGACCUGUGGCUGGGGGUGAAAGGCCAAUCAAACCGGGAGAUAGCUGGUUCUCCCCGAAAGCUAUUUAGGUAGCGCCUCGUGAAUUCAUCUCCGGGGGUAGAGCACUGUUUCGGCUAGGGGGCCAUCCCGGCUUACCAACCCGAUGCAAACUGCGAAUACCGGAGAAUGUUAUCACGGGAGACACACGGCGGGUGCUAACGUCCGUCGUGAAGAGGGAAACAACCCAGACCGCCAGCUAAGGUCCCAAAGUCAUGGUUAAGUGGGAAACGAUGUGGGAAGGCCCAGACAGCCAGGAUGUUGGCUUAGAAGCAGCCAUCAUUUAAAGAAAGCGUAAUAGCUCACUGGUCGAGUCGGCCUGCGCGGAAGAUGUAACGGGGCUAAACCAUGCACCGAAGCUGCGGCAGCGAACGUAUCACCCAAGACAACUUUACGGAGUUGACGAUUGACGGAGCGAAGCGACGUCAAAGCGUUCAUUAAAGUCGAGUUGGCUUAGGGAUACGUUCGUUGGGUAGGGGAGCGUUCUGUAAGCCUGUGAAGGUGUGUCGUGAGGCAUGCUGGAGGUAUCAGAAGUGCGAAUGCUGACAUAAGUAACGAUAAAGCGGGUGAAAAGCCCGCUCGCCGGAAGACCAAGGGUUCCUGUCCAACGUUAAUCGGGGCAGGGUGAGUCGACCCCUAAGGCGAGGCCGAAAGGCGUAGUCGAUGGGAAACGGGUUAAUAUUCCCGUACUUGGUGUUACUGCGAAGGGGGGACGGAGAAGGCUAUGUUGGCCGGGCGACGGUUGUCCCGGUUUAAGCGUGUAGGUGUGUGUUCCAGGUAAAUCCGGUUCACUUUAACACUGAGGCGUGACGACGAGGCACUACGGUGCUGAAGCAACAAAUGCCCUGCUUCCAGGAAAAGCCUCUAAGCAUCAGGUAACAUCAAAUCGUACCCCAAACCGACACAGGUGGUCAGGUAGAGAAUACCAAGGCGCUUGAGAGAACUCGGGUGAAGGAACUAGGCAAAAUGGUGCCGUAACUUCGGGAGAAGGCACGCUGACACGUAGGUGAAGUGAUUUACUCAUGGAGCUGAAGUCAGUCGAAGAUACCAGCUGGCUGCAACUGUUUAUUAAAAACACAGCACUGUGCAAACACGAAAGUGGACGUAUACGGUGUGACGCCUGCCCGGUGCCGGAAGGUUAAUUGAUGGGGUCAGCGCAAGCGAAGCUCCUGAUCGAAGCCCCGGUAAACGGCGGCCGUAACUAUAACGGUCCUAAGGUAGCGAAAUUCCUUGUCGGGUAAGUUCCGACCUGCACGAAUGGCGUAAUGAUGGCCAGGCUGUCUCCACCCGAGACUCAGUGAAAUUGAACUCGCUGUGAAGAUGCAGUGUACCCGCGGCAAGACGGAAAGACCCCGUGAACCUUUACUAUAGCUUGACACUGAACAUUGAGCCUUGAUGUGUAGGAUAGGUGGGAGGCUUUGAAGUGUGGACGCCAGUCUGCAUGGAGCCGACCUUGAAAUACCACCCUUUAAUGUUUGAUGUUCUAACGUGGACCCGUAAUCCGGGUUGCGGACAGUGUCUGGUGGGUAGUUUGACUGGGGCGGUCUCCUCCUAAAGAGUAACGGAGGAGCACGAAGGUUGGCUAAUCCUGGUCGGACAUCAGGAGGUUAGUGCAAUGGCAUAAGCCAGCUUGACUGCGAGCGUGACGGCGCGAGCAGGUGCGAAAGCAGGUCAUAGUGAUCCGGUGGUUCUGAAUGGAAGGGCCAUCGCUCAACGGAUAAAAGGUACUCCGGGGAUAACAGGCUGAUACCGCCCAAGAGUUCAUAUCGACGGCGGUGUUUGGCACCUCGAUGUCGGCUCAUCACAUCCUGGGGCUGAAGUAGGUCCCAAGGGUAUGGCUGUUCGCCAUUUAAAGUGGUACGCGAGCUGGGUUUAGAACGUCGUGAGACAGUUCGGUCCCUAUCUGCCGUGGGCGCUGGAGAACUGAGGGGGGCUGCUCCUAGUACGAGAGGACCGGAGUGGACGCAUCACUGGUGUUCGGGUUGUCAUGCCAAUGGCACUGCCCGGUAGCUAAAUGCGGAAGAGAUAAGUGCUGAAAGCAUCUAAGCACGAAACUUGCCCCGAGAUGAGUUCUCCCUGAGACUUAGAGUCUCCUGAAGGAACGUUGAAGACGACGACGUUGAUAGGCCGGGUGUGUAAGCGCAGCGAUGCGUUGAGCUAACCGGUACUAAUGAACCGUGAGGCUUAACCUUACA